Molecule: long non-coding RNA, 1301 nt
Organism: Alosa sapidissima (American shad)
Lineage: Eukaryota; Metazoa; Chordata; Actinopteri; Clupeiformes; Clupeidae
Exons: 3
Source: RefSeq, a predicted model, not a curated record
UUAAACGAUCCCAUAACAUUGCUGUGGGAUACCAUACCAUAGCAUUCCUGGAGGCUACAAUUGCACAUUACUGUGGUACAGUGGAAAGUGAAGUGUUGUGGAGUUAGCCUACAACAGAGCGGCCUGUGGUGAAGUGCUAUGGUGACCGCAAUCAUCUGUGUUGUUAUUAUUCGUGAAUUUACAUGUAGCCUAAUGCUAAUGUGUCAGCACAGAUUCUUUCGAACACCCGUUAAGUUAAGUGAUCUGGUGAUAAAGCUUUUGAAUGCCAACGGUAUUGUUAUGUGAGGCUAGCAUUGUAAUUGUUAUGAAAGGAUAACGUUACAUUGUAGUCGUAUGUUAAGUGUGUUUGGAAGAAGCAUCUGCUAAUCAUACACAUAGCUAACGGUAUAUGGACUCUACAGCCCAUUAUGAUGUGGUGAAUUGACUGUGCUGUGGCAGAGACUGUAGCGUGUGUGCUUUACAUGAGAGAGGUCAGGGGUUCAAGACUGAGUCGAUGGGUGUGAGGUAUGGGUAGGCCUGUCAUGGGAGGCGGAAAAAUGGCCAGCAGGAAGGUGUGCAGCAGCCACUGGAAUGACCUCUUCCACCUCCUCCACUAACAGCUCCUCAUCAGCCGGCAGUGGGAUGUGAUCCUGAAGGGCCAUGUUGCAGAAGCGCCGCCACCAAAACUACACUGCACGCCUUUGCAGGAUGGAGCUUCAGGCCACCAGCGGAUUUGCUCACACACCUUUCCACAUGCCCAAGGCCCUCUCCACAACAACGCGGGUCCGGCUAUGGGCGUUGUUGUACCGCGCCUCUGCCUCGCUGUUGGGCUCCUAGAUGGAGCAGUUGACAUGCUUGUAUUAUCAUAGGGGGUUGAUGGAAUAAAGUAGGUCUUGAAAUGUCAGUGCACUCACAGGGAAUAUAGACAUGCAUUUGAAAACAACAGUAUAGACUUUGCUACUAUCUCAGCAGCAGAAGGCAACAACAUGAGCAGCACCUACAGUAACACUGUGUGUGUGUGUGUGUGUGUGUAUGUUGGUACAGCUGGCGCAGAUCCUUCAACCAUUUGAGCAUUGAAACAUUUGUGCUAUGUGAACUGUGAUUUUGUGGUUGUGAUUCAACACACAACUUCAUAACUACAAUGGAUGAAAAGUAAUGGUAAAAAAACUGUAUCUGUGCAUUUAAAAUAUCAUGAAAUACUUGUGUGUGGUAACAGUAUUCAGUUUUCAGUGUCACAAUGAAAACACAUAACAAGGGCAACAUUGGGCAAAUGCUGCAUAAAGGCAUGAAAAUAUUCCAGUGAAAUGAAGGGCAAUGAUAAA